GUGCUCGCUUUGGCAGCACAUAUACUAAAAUUGGAAUGAUACAGAGAAGAUUAGCAUGGGCCCUGCACAAGGAUGACACGCAAAUUCAUGAAGCGUUGCGUAUUUUU
RNAcentral lists this small nuclear RNA (107 nucleotides) under Phocoena sinus (vaquita). Lineage: Eukaryota; Metazoa; Chordata; Mammalia; Artiodactyla; Phocoenidae. The record is from RNAcentral. RNAcentral also lists the same sequence under 1 other name.